RNAcentral lists this ribosomal RNA (400 nucleotides) under uncultured bacterium. RNAcentral's name for it is "bacterial SSU rRNA". It matches the Rfam family "Bacterial small subunit ribosomal RNA", at positions 358 to 775 of the family's 1533-position model. The record is from RNAcentral.
GGAAUAUUGCACAAUGGAGGAAACUCUGAUGCAGUGACGCCGCGUGCAGGAAGAAGGUUUUCGGAUUGUAAACUGCUUUAGACAGGGAAGAAACAAGACAGUACCUGUAGAAUAAGCUCCGGCUAACUACGUGCCAGCAGCCGCGGUAAUACGUAGGGAGCAAGCGUUAUCCGGAUUUAUUGGGUGUAAAGGGUGCGUAGACGGGAAUUUAAGUCAGCGGUAAAAAUUCGGGGCUCAACCCCGUCCGGCCGUUGAAACUGGGGGCCUUGAGUGGGCGAGAAGAAGGCGGAAUGCGUGGUGUAGCGGUGAAAUGCAUAGAUAUCACGCAGAACCCCGAUUGCGAAGGCAGCCUUCCGGCGCCCUACUGACGCUGAGGCACGAAAGUGCGGGGAUCGAACAG